This 72-nucleotide transfer RNA is filed under the name Ictidomys tridecemlineatus (thirteen-lined ground squirrel). RNAcentral describes it as "Spermophilus tridecemlineatus (thirteen-lined ground squirrel) tRNA". It matches the Rfam family "tRNA". Rfam says of the family: Transfer RNA (tRNA) molecules are approximately 80 nucleotides in length. Lineage: Eukaryota; Metazoa; Chordata; Mammalia; Rodentia; Sciuridae. The record is from Rfam by way of RNAcentral.
UGGGUUGUGGCUCAGUGGUAGAGCAUUCACCUAGAAUGUGCGAGGCCCUGGGUUCGAUCCUCAGCACCACAU